UGGGGAAUCUUGCACAAUGGGGGCAACUCUGAUGCAGCGACGCCGCGUGAGCGAUGAAGCCCUUCGGGGCGUAAAGCUCUUUCGACCGGAACGAUAAUGACGGUACCGGGAGAAGAAGCUGCGGCUAACUACGUGCCAGCAGCCGCGGUAAUACGUAGGCAGCAAGCGUUGUACGGAGUUACUGGGCGUAAAGCGUGCGCAGGCGGUUUUGUAAGACAGAUGUGAAAUCCCCGGGCUUAACCUGGGAACUGCGUUUGUGACUGCAAGGCUGGAGUACGGCAGAGGGGGGUGGAAUUCCACGUGUAGCAGUGAAAUGCGUAGAGAUGUGGAGGAACACCGAUGGCGAAGGCAGCCCCCUGGGCCUGUACUGACGCUCAUGCACGAAAGCGUGGGGAGCAAACA
Molecule: ribosomal RNA, 402 nt
Filed under: uncultured bacterium
Lineage: Bacteria
Description: bacterial SSU rRNA
Rfam family: Bacterial small subunit ribosomal RNA
Source: RNAcentral